This 809-nucleotide long non-coding RNA is filed under the name Homo sapiens (human). Its description in RNAcentral is "HSALNT0409222". The record is from RNAcentral. Lineage: Eukaryota; Metazoa; Chordata; Mammalia; Primates; Hominidae.
AGCCUAUGCUGCUGCUUUGCCUAUGAAGCAGCUAUUCUUUAUUCCUUUACUUUCUUAAUAUACUUCCUUUCAUUUUACUCUGUGGACUCGCCCUGAAUUCUCUCUUGCACGAGAUCCAACAACCCUCUCUUGAGGUUUGGACUGGGACCCCUUUCUGAUGGAUGUGCAUGUCAUUUGGUGCCAAAGACCCAGGUCACAGGGAUUCCUUCGGGAGACCAGGCCCCUGUCCUCACUCUCACUCCAUGAAGGGAUCCACCUAUGACCUCGAGUCCUUAGACCAACCAGCCCAAGGAACAUCUCACCAAUCUCAAAUUGGAGCCCAUCUACACACAGCAAAAUAUCUCACAAUGAAUUCCCAUCCACAGCCUCAGCAAUGGGCUGGUGUGUCCCCAGAGAAUGUCAGCUGAUUGGACAGCAGUCUGCAGGAGAAGGUGAAUCCCCUAAUUUGGAAGGAACUGAAGCAUGAAAAGAUGCUGAGAUCACAAUGAAAACAGACAAAGUCUUCUGGGGAUGAAAUGUUAAAAAGGGGAGAUGUGCAAGGAACACAGGAAGAAUAAGUUCAGGAGAUCUGUUAUACAACAUGGGGAUGAUAGUUAAUAACAAUGCAUGGUACAUUUGGGGAUUGCUAAAGGAACACCUUGUAAAGAUUUCCACCCUUCCUCUUGAAUGAUAAGUAUGAAAUGUGACGGAUAUAUUUCUUAGCUUGAUGUAGCUGUUCCACCGUGUGUGCAUAUAUCAAAACAUCACGUUGUAUCCCAUAAAUGUAUAUCGUUUAAAUUUGUUAAUUAAAAUAAUAAAUAAUAAAGAAC